GCAAGUCGAGCGCGCCCUUCGGGGUGAGCGGCGGACGGGUGAGUAACGCGUGGGAAUAUGCCCUUCUCUAAGGAAUAGCCUCUGGAAACGGAGAGUAAUACCUUAUACGCCCUUUGGGGGAAAGAUUUAUCGGAGAAGGAUUAGCCCGCGUUAGAUUAGGUAGUUGGUGGGGUAAUGGCCUACCAAGCCUACGAUGUCUAGGGGUUCUGAGAGGAUGAUC
RNAcentral lists this ribosomal RNA (220 nucleotides) under uncultured bacterium. RNAcentral describes it as "partial 16S ribosomal RNA". It matches the Rfam family "Bacterial small subunit ribosomal RNA", at positions 57 to 305 of the family's 1533-position model. The record is from RNAcentral.